GACGAACGCUGGCGGCGUGCUUAACACAUGCAAGUCGAACGGAAAGGCCCUUCUUUGGUGGUGUUGUCGAGUGGCGAACGGGUGAGUAACACAUGGGUAACCUUCCCGUGACUUUGGGUUACCUUCAGGAAACUGGGUCUAAUACGGGAUCGAACCUCGUGCUGCAUGGGGGGGGUUGGAAAGUUGCUGCGGUUGGGGAUGGAUUCGCGGCUUAUCAGCUUGUUGGUGGGGUAGGGGCUUACCAGGGCUUUGACGGGGAGCCGGCAUGAGAGGGUGACCGGCGACAUGGGUACUACGAGAGGGACCAGACUGCAACGGGAGGCAGCAGUGGAGAGUAUGGCACAAUAGGCGGGAGCGUGAGAAAGAAACGCCGGGGGCGGGAAGCACGCCUGUGCGUUGUAAAAUCCUUUCGCCUGUGACGAACGGUGAGUGACGGUAAUGGAUAAAGAAGCACCGGCUAACUACGUG
This 468-nucleotide ribosomal RNA is filed under the name uncultured bacterium. RNAcentral's name for it is "partial 16S ribosomal RNA". It matches the Rfam family "Bacterial small subunit ribosomal RNA", at positions 28 to 507 of the family's 1533-position model. The record is from RNAcentral.